GGAGGGGUGGCCGAGCGGUCGAAGGCGCACGCUUGGAAAGCGUGUAUACAGGAAACUGUAUCGUGGGUUCGAAUCCCAUCCCCUCCGCCA
Molecule: transfer RNA, 90 nt
Filed under: Alphaproteobacteria bacterium MarineAlpha9_Bin2
Lineage: Bacteria; Pseudomonadati; Pseudomonadota; Alphaproteobacteria
Description: tRNA-Ser
Rfam family: tRNA
About the family: Transfer RNA (tRNA) molecules are approximately 80 nucleotides in length. Their secondary structure includes four short double-helical elements and three loops (D, anti-codon, and T loops). Further hydrogen bonds mediate the characteristic L-shaped molecular structure. tRNAs have two regions of fundamental functional importance: the anti-codon, which is responsible for specific mRNA codon recognition, and the 3' end, to which the tRNAs corresponding amino acid is attached (by aminoacyl-tRNA synthetases). tRNAs cope with the degeneracy of the genetic code in two manners: having more than one tRNA (with a specific anti-codon) for a particular amino acid; and 'wobble' base-pairing, i.e. permitting non-standard base-pairing at the 3rd anti-codon position.
Source: RNAcentral